This 506-nucleotide ribosomal RNA is filed under the name uncultured bacterium. Its description in RNAcentral is "partial 16S ribosomal RNA". It matches the Rfam family "Bacterial small subunit ribosomal RNA", at positions 29 to 523 of the family's 1533-position model. The record is from RNAcentral.
AGUGAACGCUGGCGGUAGGCCUAACACAUGGAAGUCGAACGGCAGCACAGAGGAGCUUGCUCCUUGGGUGGCGAGUGGCGGACGGGUGGGGAACACAUCGGAAUCUACUCUGUCGUGGGGGAUAACGUAGGGAAACUUACGCUAAUACCGCAUACGACCUACGGGUGAAAGCAGGGGACCUUCGGGCCUUGCGCGAUUGAAUGAGCCGAUGUCGGAUUAGCUAGUUGGCGGGGUAAAGGCCCACCAAGGCGACGAUCCGUAGCUGGUCUGAGGGGAUGAUCAGCCACACUGGAACUGAGACACGGUCCAGACUCCUACGGGAGGCAGCAGUGGGGAAUAUUGGACAAUGGGCGCAAGCCUGAUCCAGCCAUACCGCGUGGGUGAAGAAGGCCUUCGGGUUGUAAAGCCCUUUUGUUGGGAAAGAAAUCCAGCUGGCUAAUACCCGGUUGGGAUGACGGUACCCAAAGAAUAAGCACCGGCUAACUUCGUGCCAGCCGCCGCCGUAA